Molecule: ribosomal RNA, 500 nt
Filed under: uncultured bacterium
Lineage: Bacteria
Description: partial 16S ribosomal RNA
Rfam family: Bacterial small subunit ribosomal RNA
Source: RNAcentral
GAUGAACGCUAGCGGCAGGCUUAAUACAUGCAAGUCGAGGGACAGCACAGGUAGCAAUACUGGGUGGUAACCGGCAAACGGGUGCGGAACACGUACACAACCUUCCUUUAAGUGGGGGAUAGCCCAGAGAAAUUUGGAUUAAUACCCCGUAAUAUAGUUGAAUGGCAUCAUUUGAUUAUUAUAGCUACGGCGCUUAAUGAUGGGUGUGCGGCUGAUUAGAUAGUUGGUGGGGUAACGGCCCACCAAGUCUACGAUCAGUAGCUGAUGUGAGAGCAUGUUCAGCCACACGGGAACUGAGACACGGGCCCGACUCCUACGGGAGGCAGCAGUAAGGAAUAUUGGUCAAUGGACGCAAGUCUGAACCAGCCAUGCCGCGUGAAGGAUUAAGGUCCUCUGGAUUGUAAACUUCUUUUAUUUGGGACGAAAAAGGGCCUUUCUAGGUCAACUGACGGUACCAGAUGAAUAAGCACCGGCUAACUCCGUGCCAGCAGCCGCCGUAA